GGCUCAGGACGAACGCUGGCGGCGCGCCUAACACAUGCAAGUCGAACGGAGCAAAGAGGAGCUUGCUUUCUUUGCUUAGUGGCGAACGGGUGAGUAACGCGUGAGUAACCUGCCCUGGAGUGGGGGACAACAGUUGGAAACGACUGCUAAUACCGCAUAAGCCCACGGAGCCGCAUGGCUCUGAGGGAAAAGGAGAAAUUUGCUUCAGGAUGGACUCGCGUCCAAUUAGCUAGUUGGUGAGGUAAACGGCCCACCAAGGCGACGAUUGGUAGCCGGACUGAGAGAUUGAACGGCCACAUUGGGACUGAGACACGGCCCAGACUCCUACGGGAGGCAGCAGUGGGGAAUAUUGCACAAUGGGGGAAACCCUGAUGCAGCGACGCCGCGUGAGUGAAGAAGUAUUUCGGUAUGUAAAGCUCUAUCAGCAGGGAAGAACAUGACGGUACCUGACUAAGAAGCCCCGGCUAACUACGUG
This 475-nucleotide ribosomal RNA is filed under the name uncultured bacterium. RNAcentral's name for it is "bacterial SSU rRNA". It matches the Rfam family "Bacterial small subunit ribosomal RNA", at positions 21 to 507 of the family's 1533-position model. The record is from RNAcentral.